This 64-nucleotide transfer RNA is filed under the name Hypoderaeum conoideum. RNAcentral describes it as "tRNA-Ala". Lineage: Eukaryota; Metazoa; Platyhelminthes; Trematoda; Plagiorchiida; Echinostomatidae. The record is from RNAcentral. RNAcentral also lists the same sequence under 1 other name.
AACGGCAUAGUUUAAGUUGAAGAUGUGUGCUCUGCAAGCAUUCGGUGGAAGUUUCCUGCUGUUG